AUAUGUACGCUCUUGUCAUGAAUAGAUCAAAAUGAGUCUUGAGGUCAUUACAGGGAGAGCCAGCCGUUGAGGUUACAAAUGAAGGUGUUGAUGCUGCAGGGCAUACAAUUGGUACAUUUUUGGAGGUCGUGUUCAAACUUAGGAAGGUACCACACCUUUGCUAUGACCAUGUCAGUCUUGAGGUCCUUAUAGG
This is a long non-coding RNA of Lathyrus oleraceus (garden pea), 193 nucleotides long. RefSeq lists it as uncharacterized. NCBI's taxonomy places the organism in Eukaryota, Viridiplantae, Streptophyta, Magnoliopsida, Fabales, Fabaceae. The transcript has 3 exons. The record is from RefSeq and is a predicted model, not a curated record.